GAGUUUGAUCCUGGCUCAGGAUGAACGCUGGCGGCGUGCUUAACACAUGCAAGUCGAACGAACCUUCGGGUUAGUGGCGGACGGGUGAGUAACGCGUGAGAAUCUGCCCUCAGGAGGGGGAUAACAGCUGGAAACGGCUGCUAAUACCCCAUAUGCCGCGAGGUGAAAUGAAUUUCGCCUGAGGAUGAGCUCGCGUCUGAUUAGCUAGUUGGUGUGGGUAAUGGCUCACCAAGGCAUCGAUCAGUAGCUGGCCUGAGAGGAUGAUCAGCCACACUGGGACUGAGACACGGCCCAGACUCCUACGGGAGGCAGCAGUGGGGAAUUUUCCGCAAUGGGCGAAAGCCUGACGGAGCAACGCCGCGUGAGGGAUGAAGGCCUCUGGGCUGUAAACCUCUUUUAUCAAGGAAGAAGAUCUGACGGUACUUGAUGAAUAAGCCACGGCUAAUUCCGUGCCAGCAGCCGCGGUAAUACGGGAGUGGCAAGCGUUAUCCGGAAUUAUUGGGCGUAAAGCGUCCGCAGGCGGCCCUUCAAGUCUGCUGUUAAAAAGUGGAGCUUAACUCCAUCAUGGCAGUGGAAACUGAGGGGCUUGAGUGUGGUAGGGGCAGAGGGAAUUCCCGGUGUAGCGGUGAAAUGCGUAGAUAUCGGGAAGAACACCAGUGGCGAAGGCGCUCUGCUGGGCCAUCACUGACGCUCAUGGACGAAAGCCAGGGGAGCGAAAGGGAUUAGAUACCCCUGUAGUCCUGGCCGUAAACGAUGAACACUAGGUGUCGGGGGAAUCGACCCCCUCGGUGUCGUAGCCAACGCGUUAAGUGUUCCGCCUGGGGAGUACGCACGCAAGUGUGAAACUCAAAGGAAUUGACGGGGGCCCGCACAAGCGGUGGAGUAUGUGGUUUAAUUCGAUGCAACGCGAAGAACCUUACCAGGGUUUGACAUCCUGCGAAUCUCUUGGAAACGAGAGAGUGCCUUCGGGAGCGCAGUGACAGAUGGUGCAUGGCUGUCGUCAGCUCGUGUCGUGAGAUGUUGGGUUAAGUCCCGCAACGAGCGCAACCCACGUCUUUAGUUGCCAGCAUUUAAUUGGGCACUCUAGAGAGACCGCCGGUGAUAAACCGGAGGAAGGUGUGGAUGACGUCAAGUCAUCAUGCCCCUUACAUCCUGGGCUACACACGUACUACAAUGCUACGGACAAAGGGCAGCAAGUUCGCGAGGACAAGCAAAUCCCAUAAACCGUGGCUCAGUUCAGAUCGUAGGCUGCAACUCGCCUACGUGAAGUAGGAAUCGCUAGUAAUCGCAGGUCAGCAUACUGCGGUGAAUACGUUCCCGGGCCUUGUACACACCGCCCGUCACACCAUGGAAGUUGGCCACGCCCGAAGCCGUUACUCCAACCCUUGUGGAGGAGGACGUCGAAGGUGGGGCUGAUGACUGGGGUGAAGUCGUAACAAGGUAACC
Molecule: ribosomal RNA, 1446 nt
Filed under: uncultured marine cyanobacterium
Lineage: Bacteria; Bacillati; Cyanobacteriota
Description: bacterial SSU rRNA
Rfam family: Bacterial small subunit ribosomal RNA
Source: RNAcentral